GUCUAUGGCCAUGCAACCCUGAACAAGCCCAAUCCUGUCUGAUCUCGGAAGCUAAGCAGGGUUGGGCCUGGUUAGUACUUGGAUGGGAGACCACCUAGGAAGACCAGGUGCUGUAGGCG
This 119-nucleotide ribosomal RNA is filed under the name Pteropus alecto (black flying fox). Lineage: Eukaryota; Metazoa; Chordata; Mammalia; Chiroptera; Pteropodidae. The record is from RNAcentral.